Molecule: ribosomal RNA, 446 nt
Filed under: uncultured bacterium
Lineage: Bacteria
Description: partial 16S ribosomal RNA
Rfam family: Bacterial small subunit ribosomal RNA
Source: RNAcentral
CCUACGGGUGGCUGCAGUCGAGAAUCAUUCACAAUGGGGGAAACCCUGAUGGUGCGACGCCGCGUGGGGGAAUGAGGGUCUUCGGAUUGUAAACCCCUUUCAUAUGGGAGCAAAUUAGAAGGAUAGUACCGCAAGAGGAAGAGACGGCUAACUCUGUGCCAGCAGCCGCGGUAAUACAUAGGUCUCAAGCGUUGUUCGGACUUACUGGGCGUAAAGCGUGCGUAGGCUGUUUGGUAAGUCGUGUGUGAAAGCCUCGGGCUUAACCCUCGAACGGCACAUGAUACUGCGAGACUAGAGUACUGGAGGGGGAAACGGAAUUCUUGGUGUAGCAGUGAAAUGCGUAGAUAUCGGGAGGAACACUAGUGGCGAAGGCGGGUUCCUGGACAUUAACUGACGCUGAGGCACGAAGGCCAGGGGAGCGAACGGGAUUAGAUACCCUAGUAGUC